UUGGUGCUCAGGGCUUGGGUCCUCCUGUCCCUGGGGCUUCUCCAGAGCGGCGGAGACUGUGACUGGGCAGGGCCUGGCUGCCUUCUCGGCCUCUUCUCUCUGGUCAGCUGCCCUUCCUGGGAGGCCCCACAGUGGCAGCUCCCUG
Molecule: microRNA precursor, 145 nt
Organism: Equus caballus (horse)
Lineage: Eukaryota; Metazoa; Chordata; Mammalia; Perissodactyla; Equidae
Source: Ensembl